This 239-nucleotide ribosomal RNA is filed under the name uncultured bacterium. RNAcentral's name for it is "partial 16S ribosomal RNA". It matches the Rfam family "Bacterial small subunit ribosomal RNA", at positions 100 to 334 of the family's 1533-position model. The record is from RNAcentral.
CCGGCACGGGUGAGUAACACGUAUCCAACCUGCCGUCUACUCUUGGCCAGCCUUCUGAAAGGAUGAUUAAUCCAGGAUGGGAUCAUGAGUUCACAUGUCCGCAUGAUUAAAGGUAUUUUCCGGUAGACGAUGGGGAUGCGUUCCAUUAGAUAGUAGGCGGGGUAACGGCCCACCUAGUCAACGAUGGAUAGGGGUUCUGAGAGGAAGGUCCCCCACAUUGGAACUGAGACACGGUCCAA